This 1226-nucleotide long non-coding RNA is filed under the name Equus asinus (donkey). RNAcentral's name for it is "lncRNA (ENSEASG00005038791.1)". The record is from RNAcentral. Lineage: Eukaryota; Metazoa; Chordata; Mammalia; Perissodactyla; Equidae.
CGCGCCCCUCGCGCCGCGCGCGUGGCGCCCCCCCGGCCGGGCCUCCCCGAGCCCGCCCGCGGGUCUUCCCGCCCGGCUGAGGCCGCGCAGGAUGCCAGGCUUCCGCGGACUGAGAGGCUGGAGGUCCAGCGCCUCCGGCCGCCCCCACCCCUCGUGCUCCCUAGCCCGCAACUUGCCGCGGACACCCCGAGGCCGUGGCGCAGGGCAAGUGGCGGCGCCCCAGCCCCCGACGGCGCUGCGGUCCCGCGCGGACCGGCCCGUCGGGGCGACGUGCCCCCAGGGACCCAGCGCCCACCCUCUCCCUGCUCCGACCCACGAGAGAAGGGCCCCGGCGCCUCACCUCGGGCUGUGGACGGAGCCCGGAGAACCCGGUGUCGUACCCAGAUCGGUCCUGGCGUCCCGGCCGGGUGAAGCUCGCCGCUGUCGUCCGCACGUGACCGCCUGGGGCAAGAUGGCACUAGCGGAGGAACGGACGGAGCGGCUGCCCGAUCCCAGAUGGGCGCGUGUCACCGCCAGAGACGGCUGCGUCCGCCCGCCUAGCCCACGUCGGGGAUUUGGCGUGCCCUUUGCAACCUGGAAGGGCACCCAAGUGCCCCCUGUCUGCGAAGUCAGACCCAGGCCCGCCGGCGCACCCGGUGUCUCCAGGCUUCCGCAGGAGGCGCCCUGUAAAGCCGAGUUUUCCUGCCGCUCGGGGCCCUGGCGAGGGGACACAAGACGGCUGCGGAAUUCGGGCAGGAGAACUGGGGGCCCCGGCUCAGAACGGAAGCUCGAAGGUGGCUGCAAGCCGGGCCCGCAAGCCGAAGUGCCCAGGGGCGGUUAUAUUCCCCGAGCUUGCCCCUUCCCCAGCGAGCGCAGGUGCCCGUAGGACACCCCCCUCCCCACCUGCUCUGGCAAGUUCCUUUAGAAGGGAGUCCCCGCGCCACGGAGACCCGGGAGUGCCCGGACCCAGGAGUGUCGGGGAAGAGGUCUCAACUGGGCGCCGAUGGCUCCUGCCUUUCAGCGAGGAGGAGGUGCCCCGCCGCAGGAAGGAUGUCUGGGGUGCCGGACGAGGGCUCAGGCCACUUCCCACCGACCUCAGCACCGCGCUGGAAAUAUUACCCCACUUUACAGACAAACUUGCUCAAAGUCACGCUGAUGCUUGGAUUUGAAUCCAGAUUUCGUUUUGUUACUACCACUAUAAAAACAAUAUGAGACAACCAGAGAGAAAGAAAAAUGUGAGAAUAAAG